Molecule: small nuclear RNA, 107 nt
Organism: Erinaceus europaeus (western European hedgehog)
Lineage: Eukaryota; Metazoa; Chordata; Mammalia; Eulipotyphla; Erinaceidae
Source: Ensembl
GUGCUCACUUCGGCGGCACAUAUACUGAAAUUGGAACGAUACAGAGAAGAGUAGUGUGGCCCCUGCACAAGGGUGACACGCAAAUUCAUGAAGCCUUCUGUAUUUUU